Molecule: ribosomal RNA, 253 nt
Filed under: uncultured bacterium
Lineage: Bacteria
Description: partial 16S ribosomal RNA
Rfam family: Bacterial small subunit ribosomal RNA
Source: RNAcentral
GACGAACCGAGCGAACGUUAUUCGGAAUCACUGGGCUUAAAGGGCGCGUAGGCGGGCCGUCAAGUCGAGGGUGAAAUCCCCCAGCUCAACUGGGGAAGUGCCUCCGAUACUGGCGGCCUCGAGGGGGUUAGGGGCAUGCGGAACUUCCGGUGGAGCGGUGAAAUGCGUAGAUAUCGGAAGGAACACCGGUGGCGAAAGCGGCGUGCUGGAUCCCUUCUGACGCUGAGGCGCGAAAGCCAGGGGAGCGAACGGG